Chinchilla lanigera (long-tailed chinchilla) is the source of this 67-nucleotide non-coding RNA. The record is from Ensembl. NCBI's taxonomy places the organism in Eukaryota, Metazoa, Chordata, Mammalia, Rodentia, Chinchillidae.
ACAAAGCGUAGCUUAAACUAAAGCACUCGGCCUACACCCGAAAGAUUUCAAAAAAUGACCGCUUUGA